Molecule: long non-coding RNA, 1206 nt
Filed under: Oncorhynchus kisutch (coho salmon)
Lineage: Eukaryota; Metazoa; Chordata; Actinopteri; Salmoniformes; Salmonidae
Description: lncRNA (ENSOKIG00005023107.1)
Source: RNAcentral
AUGGAGCCACACAGCCAAGCCAGUGAGUCAACACAACAGACAGCUCAGUCUAUGGAACCACACAGCCAAGCCAGUGAGUCAACACAACAGACAGCUCAGUCUAUGGAGCCACACAGCCAAGCCAGUGAGUCAACACAACAGACAGCUCAGUCUAUGGAACCACACAGCCAAGCCAGUGAGUCAACACAACAGACAGCUCAGUCUAUGGAACCACACAGCCAAGCCAGUGAGUCAACACAACAGACAGCUCAGUCUAUGGAGCCACACAGCCAAGCCAGUGAGUCAACACAACAGACAGCUCAGUCUAUGGAACCACACAGCCAAGCCAGUGAGUCAACACAACAGACAGCUCAGUCUAUGGAGCCACACAGCCAAGCCAGUGAGUCAACACAACAGACAGCUCAGUCUAUGGAACCACACAGCCAAGCCAGUGAGUCAACACAACAGACAGCUCAGUCUAUGGAGCCACACAGCCAAGCCAGUGAGUCAACACAACAGACAGCUCAGUCUAUGGAGCCACACAGCCAAGCCAGUGAGUCAACACAACAGACAGCUCAGUCUAUGGAACCACACAGCCAAGCCAGUGAGUCAACACAACAGACAGCUCAGUCUAUGGAACCACACAGCCAAGCCAGUGAGUCAACACAACAGACAGCUCAGUCUAUGGAACCACACAGCCAAGCCAGUGAGUCAACACAACAGACAGCUCAGUCUAUGGAACCACACAGCCAAGCCAGUGAGUCAACACAACAGACAGCUCAGUCUAUGGAACCACACAGCCAAGCCAGUGAGUCAACACAACAGACAGCUCAGUCUAUGGAACCACACAGCCAAGCCAGUGAGUCAACACAACAGACAGCUCAGUCUAUGGAACCACACAGCCAAGCCAGUGAGUCAACACAACAGACAGCUCAGUCUAUGGAACCACACAGCCAAGCCAGUGAGUCAACACAACAGACAGCUCAGUCUAUGGAACCACACAGCCAAGCCAGUGAGUCAACACAACAGACAGCUCAGUCUAUGGAACCACACAGCCAAGCCAGUGAGUCAACACAACAGACAGCUCAGUCUAUGGAGCCACACAGCCAAGCCAGUGAGUCAACACAACAGACAGCUCAGUCUAUGGAACAACAUUUAGAUCUCUCUAGACUGAGAGGCCUAUCUGAGAUUUGGGCACUGCAGAGUCAAGGUGUAGUCUAUCCUUGA